Molecule: non-coding RNA, 72 nt
Organism: Ictidomys tridecemlineatus (thirteen-lined ground squirrel)
Lineage: Eukaryota; Metazoa; Chordata; Mammalia; Rodentia; Sciuridae
Source: Rfam
UGGGUUGUGGCUCAGUGGUAGAGCACUCUCCUAGCAUGUGUGAAGCCCUGGGUUCAAUCCUCAGCAACCCAU